Molecule: ribosomal RNA, 253 nt
Filed under: uncultured bacterium
Lineage: Bacteria
Description: partial 16S ribosomal RNA
Rfam family: Bacterial small subunit ribosomal RNA
Source: RNAcentral
UACGUAGGGUACGAGCGUUAAUCGGAAUUACUGGGCGUAAAGCGUGCGCAGGCGGCUUUGCAAGACAGAUGUGAAAUCCCCGGGCUCAACCUGGGAACUGCAUUUGUGACUGCAAGGCUAGAGUACGGCAGAGGGGGAUGGAAUUCCGCGUGUAGCAGUGAAAUGCGUAGAUAUGCGGAGGAACACCAAUGGCGAAGGCAAUCCCCUGGGCCUGUACUGACGCUCAUGCACGAAAGCGUGGGGAGCAAACAGG